AAAUUGAAGAGUUUGAUCAUGGCUCAGAUUGAACGCUGGCGGCAGGCUUAACACAUGCAAGUCGAACGGUAACAGGAAGCAGCUUGCUGCUUUGCUGACGAGUGGCGGACGGGUGAGUAAUGUCUGGGAAACUGCCUGAUGGAGGGGGAUAACUACUGGAAACGGUAGCUAAUACCGCAUAA
Molecule: ribosomal RNA, 182 nt
Filed under: Escherichia coli
Lineage: Bacteria; Pseudomonadati; Pseudomonadota; Gammaproteobacteria; Enterobacterales; Enterobacteriaceae
Description: partial 16S ribosomal RNA
Rfam family: Bacterial small subunit ribosomal RNA
Source: RNAcentral